This 174-nucleotide non-coding RNA is filed under the name Odontella aurita. The record is from RNAcentral. Lineage: Eukaryota; Bacillariophyta; Thalassiosirophyceae; Eupodiscales; Odontellaceae.
CAAAAAGAGGGACAGGAUAUAUAUAUAUCCCCAGGGAAGUUCGGGGAUGGGGCGAUAUGAGCACCCGGCCAGGAUUGAGCCUCGUCGGCUCAAGGGGCUUUUGGGGUUUGCCAACAAGGCCCCCGAGGAGUUUAGGGGUCGGCGUCUCAAAUAAGGCCCAAGAGAGGAGGAAGA